AUUCCAGCUCCAAUAGCGUAUAUUAAAGUUGUUGCAGUUAAAAAGCUCGUAGUUGGAUUUCUGGUCUGAUGCCCUGGCCCGCGUCUUAUAGAUGUGUGUGCCGGCUGUGCGUCUGCCAUCCUUCUAGUAACCCUUCCUACCCUUCACUGGGCCGGGUUGGCGAUCUAGAUCUUUUACUUUGAAAAAAUUAGAGUGUUUAAAGCAGGCUUUUGCUAUGAAUACAUUAGCAUGGAAUAAUAAUCUAGGACUUCGGUUCUAUUUUGUUGGUUUCUAGUACUGAAGUAAUGAUUGAUAGGGAUAGUUGGGGGUGCUAGUAUUGAGCGGCCAGAGGUGAAAUUCUUGGAUUCGCUCAAGACUAACUUAUGCGAAAGCAUUCACCAAGGAUGUCUUCAUCA
RNAcentral lists this ribosomal RNA (395 nucleotides) under Ebriida sp. TAGIRI1 lineage. RNAcentral's name for it is "partial small subunit ribosomal RNA". It matches the Rfam family "Eukaryotic small subunit ribosomal RNA", at positions 582 to 975 of the family's 1831-position model. Lineage: Eukaryota; Cercozoa; Thecofilosea. The record is from RNAcentral.